Molecule: small RNA, 383 nt
Filed under: Pilibacter termitis
Lineage: Bacteria; Bacillati; Bacillota; Bacilli; Lactobacillales; Enterococcaceae
Description: cspA thermoregulator
Rfam family: cspA thermoregulator
Source: Rfam by way of RNAcentral
AUUUCAAUGUGUUAUAAUGACAAUGUAGUUUUUGUAAGGAUUUCAAAAGUUUUUGUUCCAAUGUAAUAAACACUUCUUGAGCCACCUGCAACAAAUUGCACUAUAUAUUUCGAGCAAAAGCUCAAGGAGGAUGCUAUAAAUGGCACAAGGUACAGUUAAAUGGUUUAACGCAGACAAAGGUUUUGGAUUCAUCACUUCUGAAGAAGGUAACGACGUAUUCGUACACUUCUCAGCAAUCCAAACAGACGGUUUCAAAACAUUAGAAGAAGGUCAACCUGUUUCUUUUGAUGUUGAAGAAGGAGCUCGUGGACCUCAAGCAGUAAAUGUUGUAAAAGCAUAAUUACUACUUGCCCUAAAAGCAGUGCGUUGUCACUGCUUUUUUU